RNAcentral lists this ribosomal RNA (118 nucleotides) under Danio rerio (zebrafish). Lineage: Eukaryota; Metazoa; Chordata; Actinopteri; Cypriniformes; Danionidae. The record is from RNAcentral.
AGCCACAGCCAUAUCACCCUGCAGCCCAAGACCGGUUACUCACUAAAGCUAAAGCAGGGCUGAGCUUGGUCAGUACCUGGAUGGGAGACCACUAGGGAACACUAGGUUGCUGUUGGAA